GUGGACAGCCUACACCAAGGGAAGAGUCAGGGGAGAAGGAACACAAGACUCCGGAAGCAUGCCAGCGUAUAAAACCGUCUCUCUCUGUGACCUGUAAUUUGAGGGUGACAAAAAAGAACUUCCCAUGAAAGAACAAACAAACAUGACACCACCUGGGACCAUUGAAGUUGGAUUUCCCCUGGUAAGGUCUGAUGUUAUACCCUUUAAUCAUCUUUGUUGGGUUCUGCCAAGCCUCCCCAAACUUCCCACACUUCUCAUUAGUGGAUCAGUGGGUAUCCUUGCUAGAGACUGACCGAUUGUGGGUACAAUGGCACGGUUGUUCUUGCUGACCACACAUCUGUUUAUACAGUACCAUGAUUGUUUCUUGAGCAAACAAAAGCAAAGACAGUGGAACGAAAACACAAAAAGUUUUAUCUUCUAGUAAGAACUAUGAGAAGUAUUUUCAGGAAAGAUUGACUCUGCAAUUCUGCCACAAAACUCAGUGAUGUGAUUAUGCCUCACCAACAAGCAAUGGAAAACUUUUAUGGGAAAAAGUGUGUAGUAUCAAUUUCCAACUUUUGGUCAACUGAACUGAAAAGAAUCAAUGGAUGUAUUUAUCUGAACAGGAUUUAAUUUGAAUGCGCAACUAGCCACAGAUUACAGCUCAAAAAAAGUGUAUGUACUUAAAAGGAAGCUUAUGUGAAUUUUUUUGAGCCUGGUGAACAUUAUGUGUGCUGUACAAUAUAUAAAAUAACAUCAUCAUUACAUAUUAGAAAUAAAAUGUGAGAAAUCAGAAGAGACGGGGUUUCACUAUGUUGGCCAAGCUGGUCUCAGACUCCUGACCUCGUGAUCUGCCCGCCUUGGCCUCCCAAAGUGCUGGGAUUACAGGAUUUUCUUCACCUUAUCUCCUCUAUGACUCUUCCUGCCUUCCCUCAUCAUUCUAGACCUCGCUGAUCACCUUCCACCAGGAACUAUACAAGACUUGGGGUCUGUUCUGUUCAAAAUUACAGAAACCCUAUUUUCUGCCUAUUAGUUAACUUAUGAAUACAUAUUAAGUAAUAAUGAAUUGAAAUAAAUGAAUAAUAAAUGUCUCAAUUUCUGUUAUAU
Molecule: long non-coding RNA, 1086 nt
Filed under: Homo sapiens (human)
Lineage: Eukaryota; Metazoa; Chordata; Mammalia; Primates; Hominidae
Description: long non-coding RNA NONHSAT161872.1
Source: RNAcentral